CAAUUUGUAGAUGAUGCUCUGUUUCAUCUUCCAGGGGCUCACCUUUACUCCAGCUUGCCUUUGUCCUUCACUGGCACUUUGCAGCACAGCAAUCUCUCUUUGAACGGUGAUAGCAAGUUCAGGUCUGGUGCAGCUCUGCUCAGCCCAAAACCGAGCGGGAAGGAGAAAUGAGAAGCUGGUGAAAGGCCUCACGGACAAACGUACUCUCCAGCUUCUGCACCCCGUGUUCUCCUUCUGUCGUGCUCCAGACCCUGGAGAGGAGUCAGCCUCAGUGAACCCAGUGACAUGCCCCUGGAAAUGGAGAGCUGCUCACAGAAAUGCCAACAGCCCAGCCGAUAGGGCCUUCCCACUGAUAGGAGCGUAUUCCAGCACGGAGCCGAAGCCACAGGCAGGAGGAUGACAAACAGGAGGCAUACCAGUAGUGCCAGUAAGAGAGAUCCCACCAGCCAAGUGCCACUUCGAGCCUCCCAAGCAACUCAUUCCUCAGAAUGACUCCCUUCAUGCACAUGACAUGUAAGAAGAGCUCGGCAAGUUCCUCGGGACGAAAGCUUUCCUCCCAAGUUGUCACUGAUGAAGAAGAGCCCCAGAGCCAGUGAUGCUCCGGUGGAAUUUGCCCAUUUCUGCGACUAGCAAAAAGGGGACCUGAUGCAAUUUCCGAGCCACACCACUUCUGGAACGUGCCCCACACAGUCUGGGUUCAUCUGAGGCCACUCAUCUUGCAGGACCGUCCACCCCGCUGACCCCCGUGUACCCGAGUGGCAGUCUCUGAGCCAGGUGAGAUAAUUUGCAGUAGAGUUUCAG
This is a long non-coding RNA of Calidris pugnax (ruff), 801 nucleotides long. RefSeq lists it as uncharacterized. The record is from RefSeq and is a predicted model, not a curated record. The transcript has 4 exons. NCBI's taxonomy places the organism in Eukaryota, Metazoa, Chordata, Aves, Charadriiformes, Scolopacidae.